UACGUAGGGUGCAAGCGUUAAUCGGAAUUAUUGGGCGUAAAGAGCUCGUAGGCGGUUUGUCGCGUCUGUCGUGAAAGCCCACGGCUUAACCGUGGGUCUGCGGUGGAUACGGGCAGACUAGAGGCAGGUAGGGGAGAAUGGAAUUCCCGGUGUAGCGGUGAAAUGCGCAGAUAUCAGGAAGAACACCUAUGGCGAAGGCAGCUCUCUGGGACGGUACUGACGCUGAGACGCGAAAGCGUGGGGAGCGAACAGG
RNAcentral lists this ribosomal RNA (253 nucleotides) under uncultured bacterium. Its description in RNAcentral is "partial 16S ribosomal RNA". It matches the Rfam family "Bacterial small subunit ribosomal RNA", at positions 524 to 776 of the family's 1533-position model. The record is from RNAcentral.